This 480-nucleotide ribosomal RNA is filed under the name Bacillus subtilis. Its description in RNAcentral is "bacterial SSU rRNA". It matches the Rfam family "Bacterial small subunit ribosomal RNA", at positions 343 to 813 of the family's 1533-position model. Lineage: Bacteria; Bacillati; Bacillota; Bacilli; Caryophanales; Bacillaceae. The record is from RNAcentral.
GGAGGCAAGCAGUAGGGAAUCUUCCGCAAUGGACGAAAGUCUGACGGAGCAACGCCGCGUGAGUGAUGAAGGUUUUCGGAUCGUACAGCUCUGUUGUUAGGGAAGAACAAGUACCGUUCGAAUAGGGCGGUACCUUGACGGUACCUAACCAGAAAGCCACGGCUAACUACGUGCCAGCAGCCGCGGUAAUACGUAGGUGGCGAGCGUUGUCCGGAAUUAUUGGGCGUAAAGGGCUCGCAGGCGGUUUCUUAAGUGUGAUGUGAAAGCCCCCGGCUCAACCGGGGAGGGUCAUUGGAAACUGGGGAACUUGAGUGCAGAAGAGGAGAGUGGAAUUCCACGUGUAGCGGUGAAAUGCGUAGAGAUGUGGAGGAACACCAGUGGCGAAGGCGACUCUCUGGUCUGUAACUGACGCUGAGGAGCGAAAGCGUGGGGAGCGCAUCAGAAUUAGAUACCCUGGUAGUUCAAGCCGUAAACGAUGAG